CUAAAAAUAUGCUAAACAGAUCGUUGUUAGAACCGACAAACAAAGUUUAAUUUAAUUUUACUCUUAUCUUUUCUACUCGAAAAAUAGUGGUCGUAAGAGGUCGAUCCACAGAGAGGCGAUUGGAGUUGCAUAAAAAUUAAAACUUUCACUCGGAUUCGAAAUCGAUUUUUGAAUGAUAGAAGAAAAACAUUACUUUGAGGAUGUUUGAAUGAUUCUCUGGGCUACCAGAGAAUGUUUUCUACUUGAAAUUAACGGAAAGACAGGUACUUAAAUUCGAAAAGCAUUUAUAUAUUUAAUGAAAAAGAAAGCUCUGGCAUAAAAUGGAUGAAAACAGUGCUAGGAAUAUUGAAGACUGGAAUAUCGAUUGCAUGAAAGAAAUUUUAAUGUAUUGCAUAAAAAAGAAGAAAGAUUACAGAAUUUGAAGAACGGAAAUUAAAGACAACAGAAAUUAAAAACUUUAGUAUAAAUAAAACUCUCUAUUAAAAUAAAACUAAAAACCCCAAGACAACAUGUUCUCAAUUAAGAUUCAAACUCAAAACACAUUGCUCUCAAUUAAAAUUCAAACUAAAAACAACACAUUGCUCUUAAUUAAAAUAAAACUAAAAAAAUAAAACAGAAAGCUAAAACUAAAAAAAUAAAAAAGCAAGGCACUCUCUCUUCUCUCCCCUGUUCCUUCUUGAACCAGCCGACCACCUUCUUCUCCCCUCCUU
This 710-nucleotide long non-coding RNA is filed under the name Phoenix dactylifera (date palm). RNAcentral's name for it is "long non-coding RNA (PDAC_LNC005555)". Lineage: Eukaryota; Viridiplantae; Streptophyta; Magnoliopsida; Arecales; Arecaceae. The record is from RNAcentral.